AGGGGUGUAUUUAAAUUAAAAUCUUACAAAAAAGGAUGUAUCCAAAUGAAUGUUUAUGUUUUAAAAAGAGAGAUAUAAGUUUUAAUGAAAAUAUAAUUUAUUUGAUAUAAGAUUUAAAUUAGAAUCUUACAAAAUAAUCUUUUAAUUUAAUUGAUUUAUAUAUGAAAAUAUUAAGUUGGAAUUGCAGAGGUCUUGGAAGUCAUUGGACAAUAAGUUAUCUUCGGGAAACAUGGCAUAAACAUAAACC
This 247-nucleotide long non-coding RNA is filed under the name Brassica napus (rape). RNAcentral describes it as "long non-coding RNA (BNAP_LNC019599)". The record is from RNAcentral. Lineage: Eukaryota; Viridiplantae; Streptophyta; Magnoliopsida; Brassicales; Brassicaceae.